UCUACGGGCGGUAGCAGUGAGGAAUAUUGGUCAAUGGCCGGAAGGCUGAACCAGCCAAGCUGCGUGAAGGACGAAGGUGCCAAGCAUUGUAAACUUCUUUUGUCAAGGGACAAAAUCAGGCUCGAGAGCCUGACCGAGGGUACUUGAAGAAAAAGCAUCGGUUAACUCCGUGCCAGCAGCCGCGGUAAUACGGAGGAUGCGAGCGUUAUCCGGAUUUAUUGGGUUAAAAGGGUGCGUAGGCGGACUGUUAAGUCAGCGGUAAAAGCCCGGGGCUCAACCCCGGCGUGCCGUUGAAACUGUGUGUAUUGAGAUGGUGAGAGGUAUGCGGAAUGCGCGGUGUAGGGGUGAAAUGCUUAGAUAUUGAGCAGAAUUCCGAUUGCGAAGGCAGCAUACCGGCGGCGAUCUGACGCUGAGGCACGAAAGCGUGGGUAUCGAACAGGAUUAGAUACCCUUGUAGUC
Molecule: ribosomal RNA, 459 nt
Filed under: uncultured bacterium
Lineage: Bacteria
Description: partial 16S ribosomal RNA
Rfam family: Bacterial small subunit ribosomal RNA
Source: RNAcentral